AUUGAACGCUGGCGGCAUGCUUUACACAUGCAAGUCGAACGGUAACAGGCCUUCGGGUGCUGACGAGUGGCGAACGGGUGAGUAAUGCAUCGGAACGUACCCAGAGGUGGGGGAUAACGCAGCGAAAGCUGUGCUAAUACCGCAUGUGAUCUGAGGAUGAAAGCGGGGGACCGAGCAGCAAUGUUUGGCCUCGCGCCUUUGGAGCGGCCGAUGUCGGAUUAGCUAGUUGGUGGGGUAAAGGCCUACCAAGGCGACGAUCCGUAGCUGGUCUGAGAGGACGACCAGCCACACUGGGACUGAGACACGGCCCAGACUCCUACGGGAGGCAGCAGUGGGGAAUUUUGGACAAAGGGCGCAAGCCUGAUCCAGCAAUGCCGCGUGCGGGAAGAAGGUCUUCGGGUUGUAAACCGCUUUUGGCAGGAACGAAACGGUGUCCGCUAAUACCGGGCGCUAAUGACGGUACCUGCAGAAUAAGCACCGGCUAACUACGUG
Molecule: ribosomal RNA, 492 nt
Filed under: uncultured bacterium
Lineage: Bacteria
Description: partial 16S ribosomal RNA
Rfam family: Bacterial small subunit ribosomal RNA
Source: RNAcentral